AGCCCUUGACUUGUGACUCGCCGGCUCCAGAGACGGAGCCUUCGGUUCGGCCGGAGUCAACACAGGUGCUGCAUGGCUGUCGUCAGCUCGUGUCGUGAGAUGUUGGGUUAAGUCCCGCAACGAGCGCAACCCUCGUCUCCAGUUGCCAUCAGGUUAUGCUGGGCACUUUGGAGAAACUGCCGGUGACAAGCCGGAGGAAGGUGGGGAUGACGUCAAGUCCUCAUGGCCCUUACGGGCUGGGCUACACACGUGCUACAAUGGCGGUGACAGUGGGAUGCGAAGGGGCGACCCGGAGCCGAUCCUAAAAGCCGUCUCAGUUCGGAUUGCACUCUGCAACUCGAGUGCAUGAAGGUGGAAUCGCUAGUAAUCGAGGAUCAGCAUGCCUCGGUGAAUACGUUCCC
This 401-nucleotide ribosomal RNA is filed under the name uncultured bacterium. RNAcentral describes it as "bacterial SSU rRNA". It matches the Rfam family "Bacterial small subunit ribosomal RNA", at positions 976 to 1375 of the family's 1533-position model. The record is from RNAcentral.